Molecule: ribosomal RNA, 253 nt
Filed under: uncultured bacterium
Lineage: Bacteria
Description: partial 16S ribosomal RNA
Rfam family: Bacterial small subunit ribosomal RNA
Source: RNAcentral
UACGGGGGGGGCAAGCGUUGUUCGGAAUUACUGGGCGUAAAGGGCUGGUAGGCGGCCAACUAAGUCGGAUGUGAAAUCCCCAGGCUUAACCUGGGAACUGCAUCCGAUACUGGUCGGCUUGAAUCCGGGAGGGGGAUGCAGAAUUCCAGGUGUAGUGGUGAAAUGCGUAGAGAUCGGCAGGAACACCCAGGGGGAAACCAGCCGACUGGGCAUCUGCUGACGCUGAGGUGCGAGAGCGUGGGGAGCGAACCGG